CACAGGUAUGCUUCUCUUUAAACAUAAUUGAACACAGACCGGGUGCAGUUUUGCAGUCUUGAGCAUUACCUUAUACCGUUUGCAUACCUGCCUAUCAAUAUGUAUUUUUGAGUACUUGAAAAUGUUUUUAUGUUUACCCUAGAAGACCUUUCUGUCCAAGAAAUUACAAAAGUUACACUUGCUGCUGGCAAAGCAUUCAGAUUUUGAGAAAUUACAAAGUACAAAACAAAUGAUACUUAAAUCACAAGAAAAAAAUCACUUGAAAAAUAUCCUUGCCAUGCACUCUUAUCUCUCCACUUUGCACACGUAUGUGCUUUUAAAAAAUAAUGUUCAAAUCCCUUUUAACUUUAAGCAUUAAAACAAGUUUUCCUACCUUGUAGCUUGAAGGCUUUUAAAAACAUCAUCAAAUAUUCUUUGGAAUGCCCACAUGCUUUACAAUUUUGUCACCUGUUUUUGCAUUUGUAGAAACAAUCAUGCUUCUUUACAAUGUACCUGCUACAACAGCCAUAUACGAAGAAGUGAAACGAGGGCACAGGUAAUGCCACCUCCAGCAAACAAGGACUUUUGAAAUGUGGGUUCAUCUUCAAUCCUCUUCAUUUGUUUUUGGUUCCCAUCAGCUCGUGCAAAGUCAGAUCUUUUAACAGACGUGCUAACCGUUCUUGGCUUGGCUGGAUAGUCCCAUUUGUCUCCCAGGUUCUCCCAGCUCCCAUUUGGGUGCACCUGAGACCUCCAGCAAGCACAUCUGCUCCUGCUAUAAGGCACCAGGUAUUGUCCUAUUCUCUGUGCUCAGACUCUGCUACCAAAUAGGGCCCAGGUCCCAGGGCAAGGGAACACCACGUGCUCAAAGGGGCUGAGAGAGAGAGACCCACAGGUCGAGUACUUUGUUGGUGGUUUCCUCUAGUCCCGCCCACAGCGUACGAAUACCAAAACUCCACCCCACGACUUCCUGUGCCCGGACUUCCUGGCGGCUCCUGGCGGUCUCGCCUUCCCACCCGCCGCCUCCUACGCCAGGACCCCACCUUCAUCCGGAAUUCCAGGUUUUGGAAAAUAAAGGUGAAGAACCAUAAAAGACAGAAAUGGCAGUUACAGAGAAGGUAACUGGAGAAGAGGGGAGGAGAAAGAAGGAGAAAAGAAAGAGGUGUACACUUGAAAUCA
This 1155-nucleotide long non-coding RNA is filed under the name Suricata suricatta (meerkat). Its description in RNAcentral is "lncRNA (ENSSSUG00005017620.1)". Lineage: Eukaryota; Metazoa; Chordata; Mammalia; Carnivora; Herpestidae. The record is from RNAcentral.